ACUACAGUGCUGCAUUUUCACCCACUGCAUUUUCAGUUGUGCUGAACUGGAAAGAGAAUACUCCGCUGUGAUUCAAACAACUGUGACGUAUCCACUGCUCUGAAGCAUGUCGCACAGAAAGAAAGACUUGCCUCUUAUGUAAAGGGCUUGAGUUUGGUUUGUUGAAGUGACUAACUUCUGUUGGCUUGAUGGAUCACGUCCUGUUACCAGAACCCAAGGCUGUCUCCAAGGAAUGGAUGCAAGGAAGUUUUCUUUCACUCCCUCUCUCCUCUGGUACUCGCUCUUGUCGCCCAGUCCUGGCAGAUGAUGAAGAAAGGCUUUGCAGCCUUCCCUCUCUUUUCACAGACCAUGCACUACAGUGACAGAGUCAUUACACAAUCUAGUGCAGGAGUUAACUUGUCAUAAAAUCAGCAACUUAAUACAUAGAAUGAACUCUGUUUUCCUGUACUCUGACCGUGUCAGUGGGAGACAGCCAUCAGAAUGCAAUUCAGUUCACCACUGCAGUCCCAUAUGUCUGAAUUUCCUAUGUUCUGCCAUUUGAAGACUUUCUAGAGUGCAUAUUGCUGUGAUGUUAGAAAUGUGGAGAUGUGCUGAUUUAGCUGGAGACAGUAAAUUAUACUAUUGUACCUGACAGCAGGAUUGGCUUAAAAAUUGUAACUAGUGAAAACCUUGUUUGAAGAGAGUGCCUUUCCAGCAAUUCUCAGUGAUAAAGUAAAAGGACAUUAAGUGUGUCAUGUUUAUUACUCAUCAAAAUUAGAUCAAUCAUAACAGAGCUAACAGAUAUGUCUGGUUGAGCUGAAAGAUGAAGAUGGAAGAGGUAGUAGAUAUCACCAAGUAUCUAAGAGAUGCCAGGAGAGACGACAAAUGUGAGUGGAUGAGCUAAAGGGGGACUGGAAAAAUGCAGUCCCAGUCAUUGCCUCAGGGAAGAAAUAGUAAACCUUGUAGAGGUUGAAAAAAUGCCUCAAGUGAGCAGGAAUAGAGAGGUUUGUUUUGUGCCAUUGUCUCUGACUCUCAGUUGCAGUGUCUGCCUCUUCCUCUUAGAGACGUAACCAUAGGGAACGAAUGCUGUGAUGGCUGGGAUUUGGAAUUUUAUUCAUGUUUAGAUUAAAAAGUGAACUGUAAAAUAUGAUUGUGCUUGUGCUGAUUCUUUCUGACCUUAGCAGUGUCCACACUUCAGCACUUGCAGAGACUUGAGAAUCUUUAGCCUGCACUGGUCAAGAUCUUUAUCCUGCAAGGACUCACUUGGGAACAGGUUCUUGUACCUGGGCAGAGAGUAGGAAUGAACUCAAGGUUGAAAGGUGGGUGAUCCAAAUCCAGCUCUCUGAUUUUUCAGAGACUUUGGGAAAGCAGAUACAUAGGUGUGAUCUGUGUGGUUGUUCUAGUUCUUCUCUCUGAAGCAGGAAGAGCACUCUACAGUAAUGUAAGAAGAACAUUGGGGUUUUGCAGAGUACUCAAGUGUCUCUGAUAAUAUGACCAGGGAACUGGUAGGUACAGAAUAGAACCUAUAUCAUUAAAGUAUAUAUUAAUAAGAAAACAACAUCAAUGUAUGUUCAACUAUGAACUGUAUUUCUUCUUAAAUACAUGCCCUUACUUAAGGGACACAUUUGUCUGGAAUGUGCAGGUAACUGUUGUACUGAGAUUUUUAAGUGGACAUUGCACAAUAUCCUUUUCAUUUCCAGUGUCUUAAAAGCUCAUUGGGCUAUAAUAAAAAGAAUAAUGGGAACACUUCAUGCUGCAUUUAGUGAAGUAUCCCAUCCUUUUACAAAUACUUGUUUUUCAAAACCUAGAAUGAGAGCUAAAUUCCUGAGUGGUACCUUUUUUAAAAGGAGAGGUCACAGAGCUUUUUCAAAUACUGAAGAAUGUACUUCAUACAAUAAUACUGCAUAGGUAUGGCACUUCUGUAAAAGUUGGUUCAGAAAGUCUGCACAACACCCCCUCGUUGAUGCUAUAAAUACAUCUUUGUGAUGAAGCUCAAAAUGUGAUGAAAAUAUUUGAUAGUGUGUUUUUAACUUUUUCUACAUCUCUUGGCUUUAAAGAUCAAAGGGUUCACUCCUAGAAUUUACACUCCUCUGAUGUAAUUAAAAUCAGAUAGGUGUACUGUAAAUAGAAUAUGCUCUGUAUGAUGGUAGGUAUGGCUUAGUGUUUCUGAGCAGGAGGUUUCUUGCUGUGGUGAAACAGCUUUUCUUGAUGAGUUGAUUGUCACUGUUUUCAGCAGCACCUCCUUUCAUCUAUUAUUCAUUUUGGAAGACUUAAUAGUAUGGUUUGGGCGUGGGCUGGUACCAGACACCGGCAGAGUAUAACCCCUGCGAAAAUAAGAGAUCCACAGAGCUAGCAGGGAUAGAGUAGAGAACAGUACAAAUGCAUCUUUGCUUUUUAAAAAUAAUUCACCCAUCCAAAAAAAGAGCCACCAUGUUCCAUGCUGUAAACUCUCUCCUGUAGCCUCCUAUUUAAAUGCCCGAUUGAGCAGACAAAGGGUGUUUCUGUUACCUGAUGCCCAUGUAACGUAUGAUGUGAACCAAGACCCCUGUCCUCUAGUGAAAGGAGUAGAUGUGUCCCCAUUGUCUGAUAAGGAUUGGAACAUGGAGCAGUACUUAGGAAGACCGCAUCUAAUGUUUUUAUCUAGCCCAUUAACACAAACUGGGGGUGUUUGUGGAAGGUCUACAGUUUCUUCCCCAUGGUUUAUUGUGAGGUCUAUAGGGCUGCAGCUUGGUGUGCAUGUAAUGACUGUGAAGUCCUAUGUGACCGUGGAUUUGUUGCAGUCGCUAUGUGCAUAUAGAUGGAUAUAUUUAUAGAAGAAUCACUGUGAAUGUGAGAAAUAAGCCUUUGAAGUGUCAAGCCAAAUAUUCUGGGGGGAAAAAAAGAAGAUUUCUUGUCUACAUCAGAAGCUUGCAUUUCAUGUAGACUUGUCUCAUUUUACCCAAAAUACUUCCCCAUAGGUUAGAAGAGCUGAAAACAAUAAUAAUAAUAAUAAUGGGGAAUGUAGAGGGGGGAGGGAGCGUGUGUGUGAGAGAGAGACAGAAGGAGAGGGGAAAUAACAAACAUCCCUGUUUGUUCCUCCUUACUUAGGGCUUCUUUCUUUCCAAUAGCUUUUUCCUCUUUCUUUAUUUCCUGUUUGGUCACUGAGCUGCCAGGCAGCCGGGGCUGUGUUGUUUCCCUUCAGCCAGAGCCCUGCGAGGAGGCGAGGGAGGCAGGACAGCUUCCAUGUGCCGGACCCCCCAGCUCUGGGAUGUGAUGCUAAGUCAGGGUGAUGGGAGGUCUGCCAUGGGUGCGUGCCUCUUGGCUCCCAGCCUGGCUGCCACCACAAAACUAGCCCGAGCCUGACACAGAGCUUUUGCUUUGUUUGUUGCUUCCCUUUGGGAAAGAAAAGGCAUUUGGAUAUUCCAGGGUCACAAAAGGAGUCUGCUAGUCUUUCCUUAAGCUGCUACUGUGAUAUUAUAAGAGUAGGCUGAGUGACUUUUGAGUAUGGAUUAAAGCCAAGGAAUGUUACCGAAAGGAGGCUUUUUGUAGAGCAAAAUAGAAUACAGAUAUUUUUCAAAAUUAACUCUUCAGUUGAUAGCAGUGGCUAUGUGCACUACUCCCAUUCCAAAAAUAGGAAAGCAACCAUUUUUACGAAGACCUGUUCCAGGCCACUGGACAUCUUUGCACAUGUUGCCACUGGGACAUCUCAAAAUCUUGCGUUGGUGCUGCUUUCAGUGAGAAGACCUUACUUUCUCCUACCAGGUUUGAGAAGUGACUCUGCUUCCUUUGCUUAUAUGUUUAUGAUCUGAAUACAGUAUAUCCUCCUCCCAACAGAAAUGCUUAAGUUUUGCCCUAAAAGGAAUAAUCUUGAGAGGACCAUGUAUGGUGCCUGUAUAACCUUCAAAAACAUAUAUUGCAAAUAGUAUGUGGUGCUGUGCAUGAGAAUUCUUACUUGCUUGUAGGUAAUGACGUACAUAGUGCUCGUUAUCUCUGAUAUUAUAGGUGAUCUUUCCAUUCCUUGUUCUUUUUAAUAUAAUGUUUAGUACUGAAGCUGAAGAAAACCAGGAAGGCAAGAGGCCUGACUUAGAAGUGGGACGCAAGAUAUUCUGGUUUUAAAAUACCAUAUGCUUUGUAGUAUUAAGUCUUUUCAUGCUAUGAUGAAAGGUUGUGUGCUAGCAGCAUGCAGUGUUAAGAGGUCAUUUCUGUCCCGAGCUACUAAAUCCUUCCAAAUGCUGCGAUUUUAAACAAGGUUUGUGAAAUGUAGCCAAACUAUUUGUUGUGCUCUUUAUUUGAAAUCCAUUAUUUUGUAUUGUACUAUUGUACAUCCGUGUGAUCUGUUAGAUUGUUUUAGUUUUGUUCUUGGAGAGUGUUAGUAAAGUAGCACUGGAGUAAAAAAAAAAAUAUAUACAUAUAUAUACACACACACAUUUAUAUAUAUAUAUAUAUAUAUUUUUUUUAGUGUUCUGGAGGCUUAAAAAAAACUUUCUAGCUAAAGUAGCAGUAGGUUGCUAGCCGCCAGCUUUAGUAUGCCUUUUGAGUACUUUUAGAGACCCAAAUUAAAUGAGCAAGAGUGUGGAAUGAAGAUGUUGUUGAGAAGUAGCAUCAGCUGUAAGGACCAAUAAUUGCAGAUGCUACAUCUUUUCAUGGAAAUAUCUUGGUUGGACAGGGCCUGCACCUUGUGUUUGGAUUGACUUGUGCUGCGGUAGGUGAAGGUGAAGAUGCAGCAAACACUGCGGGCAGAUGAGCUGGCUGCCAAAAGAAGGGCGUUCUUCAAAUGUAUCGCUGUGGUGUUGAAUGAGAAGCUGAGAAUAUGGUUUGUUUGAGAGAUUUAAAAUAUUGAAGAUGCCGGUAGCAAUAAACGAAAGUGCACCCAUUGGUUAACAGCAUUUGGCUAUAUAUCAAGACCAUUUCUGGAAGUAAAACUUGUAACAUAAAUUACUGAAUACUGAAUUACUGCGAUGUGUUAAGGAUUCUUUUUAAUUACAGGAUGUUAAGGCUUCAAAAAUAAAAUUCUUCAAAGUUAAUCAUGGAGUAAAAUAACUUCA
Molecule: long non-coding RNA, 5003 nt
Organism: Columba livia (rock pigeon)
Lineage: Eukaryota; Metazoa; Chordata; Aves; Columbiformes; Columbidae
Exons: 2
Source: RefSeq, a predicted model, not a curated record